This 440-nucleotide ribosomal RNA is filed under the name uncultured bacterium. RNAcentral's name for it is "bacterial SSU rRNA". It matches the Rfam family "Bacterial small subunit ribosomal RNA", at positions 338 to 795 of the family's 1533-position model. The record is from RNAcentral.
CCUACGGGGGGCUGCAGUGAGGAAUCUUCCACAAUGGGCGAAAGCCUGAUGGAGCGACACCGCGUGAAGGAUGAAGGCCUAACGGUUGUAAACUUCUUUUCUGAAGGAGCAUAAUGAGAGUACUUCAGGAAUAAGGGACGGCUAAAUACGUGCCAGCAGCCGCGGUAAUACGUAUGUCUCGAGCGUUACCCGGAAUCACUGGGUGUAAAGGGUUUGUAGGCGGCUUGUUAAGUUGGAUAUGAAAGACCGGAGCUCAACUCCGAGUUUGUGUUCAAAACUGGCAAGCUAGAAUCAAGGAGAGGUAAGCGGAAUUCUAAGUGUAGGGGUGCAAUCCGUAGAUACUUAGAGGAACACCAAAAGCGAAGGCAGCUUACUGGAAUUGUAUUGACGCUGAGGAACGAAAGCGUGGGGAGCGAAAAGGAUUAGAUACCCCGGUAGUC